AUUCCAUGAUGGGGACAUUCUAUUAUGUUAUCUUGGAAGCGCUCCCAUGCUUCUAGAACGGAUUCAUCAUGUUGUUGCUGAAAACAUGUAAUUUUCCCGCGGAGAGC
This 107-nucleotide small nucleolar RNA is filed under the name Sorghum bicolor (sorghum). RNAcentral's name for it is "Plant small nucleolar RNA R71". It matches the Rfam family "Plant small nucleolar RNA R71". From Rfam's summary of the family: R71 is a member of the C/D box family of snoRNAs containing the C (UGAUGA) and D (CUGA) box motifs. Lineage: Eukaryota; Viridiplantae; Streptophyta; Magnoliopsida; Poales; Poaceae. The record is from Rfam by way of RNAcentral.